GAUGAACGCUGGCGGCGUGCCUAAUACAUGCAAGUCGAACGAGGUGCUUUUGUAGCAAUACGAAAGUAUCCUAGUGGCGAACGGGUGAGUAACGCGUUGGUGACCUACCCCAAAGUGUGGGAUAACAGUUCGAAAGAACUGCUAAUACCGCAUGUGGUUAUCGGAUUUAGAAACUGAUAACUAAAGGAGCAAUUCGCUUUGGGAGGGACCUGCGUCCCAUCAGCUAGUUGGUGAGGUAAUGGCUCACCAAGGCUACGACGGGUAGGGGACCUGAGAGGGUGACCCCCCACAUGGGUACUGAGACACGGACCCAACUCCUACGGGAGGCAGCAGUAAGGAAUAUUGGACAAUGGUCGGAAGACUGAUCCAGCCAUGCCGCGUGAAGGACGAAGGCGCUCAGCGUUGUAAACUUCUUUUGGAUGGGGAUAAUAAUCUCGAUUUAUCGGGACUUGAAGGUACCAUCAGAAUAAGCACCGGCUAACUCCGUGCCAGCAGCCGCGGUAAAGUAGU
RNAcentral lists this ribosomal RNA (510 nucleotides) under uncultured bacterium. RNAcentral describes it as "bacterial SSU rRNA". It matches the Rfam family "Bacterial small subunit ribosomal RNA", at positions 28 to 529 of the family's 1533-position model. The record is from RNAcentral.